This 242-nucleotide long non-coding RNA is filed under the name Elaeis guineensis (African oil palm). RNAcentral describes it as "long non-coding RNA (EGUI_LNC040303)". Lineage: Eukaryota; Viridiplantae; Streptophyta; Magnoliopsida; Arecales; Arecaceae. The record is from RNAcentral.
GAGGUAUGAAAGAGAUCCUCAAAGGGAGGAUGGAGAACGAAUUGGAAGGGGGACCUCUCAAAGAAAAAGGAGUCUCUCUCUCUCUCUUUGUCCUCUUUUUCUCUACUAUUCUCGAGCUCCAACUAACUUAGGCAUUGGAGGGUCCCCCACUGAAACCCCUUCGAUGAGUAUAGACUUCCCUUACAAGUCCUCUCCAACAUUCUGGAUCUCGGAUGGUGUCUAGCUCCUGCCACGUUAGCACC